Molecule: ribosomal RNA, 408 nt
Filed under: uncultured bacterium
Lineage: Bacteria
Description: partial 16S ribosomal RNA
Rfam family: Bacterial small subunit ribosomal RNA
Source: RNAcentral
GACGAACGCUGGCGGCGUGCUUAACACAUGCAAGUCGAACGAAGUGGCGAACGGGUGAGUAACGCGUAAUCAACCUGCCCUUCAGAGGGGGACAACAGUGGGAAACGAAUGCUAAUACCGCAUACUGAAGGAGGGGAUUGCGUCUGAUUUGCUUGUCGGGGGGGUAACGGCCCACCAAGGCGAUGAUCAGUAGCCGGGUUGAGGGGAUGGACGGCAAAAUUGGGACCUGGACACGGCCCAGACUUCUACGGGAGGCAGCAGUGGGGAAUCUUCCGGCAUGGACGGAAGUCUGGCGGAGCAACGCCGCGUGGUUGGUGACGGCCUUCGGGUUGUAAAGCUCUGUUAAGCGGGACGCGGUACCGGAAUAGAAAGCCACGGCUAACUACGUGCCAGCCGCCGCGGUAAUAC